AACGAACGCUGGCGGCAUGCCUAACACAUGCAAGUCGAACGAAACCUUCGGGUCUAGUGGCGCACGGGUUCGUAACGCGUGGGAACCUUCCCUUAGGGUCGAAAUAACUCCCCGAAAGGGGUGCUAAUACCGAAUAAUGUCUUCGAACCAAAGAUUUAUCGCCUUUGGAUGGUCCCGCGUUGGAUUAGCUAGUUCGUAGGGUAAAAGCCUCCCAAGGCGACGAUCCAUAGCUUGGCUGAGAGGAUGCUCAGCCACACCGGGACUGAGACACGGCCCAGACUCCUACGGGAGGCAGCAGUGGGGAAUAUUGGACACUGGGCGAAAGCCUGAUCCAGCAAUGCCGCGUGAGUGAUGAAGGUCUUAGGGUUGUAAAGCUCUUUUACCCGGGAUGAUAAUGACAGUACCGGGAGAAUAAGCUCCGGCUAACCCCGUG
RNAcentral lists this ribosomal RNA (433 nucleotides) under uncultured bacterium. Its description in RNAcentral is "partial 16S ribosomal RNA". It matches the Rfam family "Bacterial small subunit ribosomal RNA", at positions 29 to 507 of the family's 1533-position model. The record is from RNAcentral.